This 466-nucleotide ribosomal RNA is filed under the name uncultured bacterium. RNAcentral's name for it is "partial 16S ribosomal RNA". It matches the Rfam family "Bacterial small subunit ribosomal RNA", at positions 28 to 507 of the family's 1533-position model. The record is from RNAcentral.
GAUGAACGCUGGCGGCGUGCUUAACACAUGCAAGUCGAACGAUGAAGCCCAGCUUGCUGGGUGGAUUAGUGGCGAACGGGUGAGUAACACGUGAGUAACCUGCCCUUAACUCUGGGAUAAGCCUGGGAAACUGGGUCUAAUACCGGAUAGGAGCGCCUACCGCAUGGUGGGUGUUGGAAAGAUUUAUCGGUUUUGGAUGGACUCGCGGCCUAUCAGCUUGUUGGUGAGGUAAUGGCUCACCAAGGCGACGACGGGUAGCCGGCCUGAGAGGGUGACCGGCCAAACUGGGACUGAGACACGGCCCAGACUCCUACGGGAGGCAGCAGUGGGGAAUAUUGCACAAUGGGCGAAAGCCUGAUGCAGCGACGCCGCGUGAGGGAUGACGGCCUUCGGGUUGUAAACCUCUUUCAGUAGGGAAGAAGCGAAAGUGACGGUACCUGCAGAAGAAGCACCGGCUAACUACGUG